Lycium barbarum (goji berry) is the source of this 2096-nucleotide long non-coding RNA. RefSeq lists it as uncharacterized. The record is from RefSeq and is a predicted model, not a curated record. The transcript is spliced from 2 exons. NCBI's taxonomy places the organism in Eukaryota, Viridiplantae, Streptophyta, Magnoliopsida, Solanales, Solanaceae.
GGAAAACAUCACAUGAAGAGUAUAUAAAGGUUGCUGAUAUUGAAAAUAUCUGAAAUAGUUGAAGCAUAUGCUGGUCGCUCCUUUAUCAUAUUUGUUUUUGCAAAAACUUUUAGAAGUUUAAUCAUCUUUUACACGAUUAAAAAACAUGCUUAAUUUUUUAAGGUGAUAAUUCAGGGGCUAGAAGUGCCAAAGGAGCCAUCUUAUCUUUGAUAAUUGGGAUAAAAUUAUUCCUCUGCACGUACUUAAGAGCCUAUUUGGGUUGGCUUAUUUUUGGUUCUUUUAAGUCAAGAUAGGCCCAUCCAAAUGGGCUCUUAAAGCAUUUCUUCUGGAGUCGCAUCUAUAAGUAUAUUUUUUUUUUCCUCUUUCGACGAUAUCUGGUCCAUAAAUGUGUUGACUAAAAUCAGUAGAUGUGUGCAUUUUCAUUUUUAUUUUAUUUUAGCUUCUUGGUAUAUCAGGGAAAUUGUAACAUCCAUUCAGGACUGUUUGAGUAUUUUGGAGUUGGAGAGUUAGGCUUGAAGGAGAAAGAGUUUAGGGCAAAACUUUGAGCUCAAUUUUAAAGUUAAUAUUCAUUUUAGACUAUUCUUCAAAUUUUUUGUACUCUUCUCUUGAUUAUUGUUGUCAUGAGUUCUUUAGGCGGAGAUGUGGGAUUGUUUUACUCUAAUUUUCUCUAUAUAAAUCAUAUACUCUACAUAGUCCGCUAAUUUUAGAAGGUUAGCACACUAUUUAUUCUGUAUUUAGCUUAAUUCUUUUGGGGAUAAUAUUUGGGUAAAAUAGAAGAAACUGAAUGUUUGAAGGAAAAUUCUUCAAGAACAGUGAGCAGGAAGGUAUGUAAUUCUUUUGCUUUUCAAUUUGUUAAUAGGAGUAUCAAUAUGCUAUAUGUGCUUCCUGAUUCUCUGUUAGGAAAAACUAAAAAUCUUCAGGUUUUUUUUCUAAGAUAUUGUUGUAGGGAGAGACAACAGGCAAUGUGAUAGAGAAAUUUUUAAAAAAAUAAUAUGAUGAUUCCUUAUUGUAGAGGAGAUUCACAAAUUUAACUGUAGUUAAGAUACAAAUUACAGUUUCAAAUAAAUUUCAUGACUGAAUUACGAAUAUAAAGUCUGCCCUUUUUUUUUUCGAGGGGUCGGCACUGUUGAUUUUCCAGAGAAAGUCUUAUGAAUUCAAGAAGUUCUUUCCUCAAAAGGUUCAUUCUGCAAUUUGUGGAUGCAAUUAUUUAAAUUUCAUGUCUUUUAUUUCAUUUAGUCGGAAUAAUUUUGAAGAAAGUCCACCACUUCAACUAUGAAGAGGUAAUUUGUGUGUUCUAUUCACGCUGUUGAACCAUGAAUAGCUCAUGUUAUGUGUUUCUCCGAAUAGUCAUAUGCCUUACUGAUAGUUUUGUACCUUUGAAAGUAUCGCCAUUUUGUUCCUAUCAUUGUUAAUUUUUUCUUUUGGUUCUGAUGUUAUAUGCUGCGGUAUGAUGAUAAAUAGUUGUAAUUGAUAUUUCAUGCUAUAUCGUAUCAGAUGUGUGCGGUGUACGAAUAAAAGUUUAAACUUACAAUUGAACUUGUAUAAAUUUUGUGAAACAUUUACAAACUGUUUUUGUUUUCUUUAUUUCCUUGCCACAGGAAUUUCCUCCUGAUGCUAUCCAACCUCUUGAUAAUCCCUGCUGGAAUUGGGAACUGAUACAUCAUAUAUGUUGGUAGGGCAUCAAGGACUGAGUUGAUGAGUGUCACUCUACCCCUCAAGGACAAAUAUUGGCUCUUCCAUCUGGCUAAUUUCCUCUCAGGCCAUCCAUGAAUCAUCUGGAAAAUGCUAUGGCAGGCAUGUUGCGAAUUAUCUCUGGUAUUAUCUUGCUUUGGUGAUGGUGUGAGACAACCUGAGAAGCUUAUGCUUUUCACGUUUCAGUAUCCGAGAGCAAAACUGUCACCUGUGACAGUGGUAACGACCGAACUGUCAUCCCUAACAGUGGUAACAAAACUGUCUCUAGCAUCAACAUAAAGUUGCUUAUGUGGUCCUUGAAUUACGAAGCAAGCUUAAGACGUCUAAAUGUGUUGUAUUAGAUAAUUCAACUUAUACUCUUUAGUAAAGAAGCUGAGUUAGUUCCAUUGAUUCUGUUCUGAAAA